AUACGGAGGAUCCGAGCGUUAUCCGGAUUUAUUGGGUUUAAAGGGUGCGUAGGCGGACGAUUAAGUCAGCUGUGAAAUGCCCGCGCUUAACGCGGGAAGUGCAGUUGAUACUGGUUGUCUGGAGUGCCGUUGCCGUGGGGGGAAUGUGGAGUGUAGCGGUGAAAUGCAUAGAUAUUACACAGAACGCCGAUUGUGAAGACACCUCACGAAGCGGUAACUGACGCUGAGGCACGAAAGCGUGGGGAUCGAACAGGAUUAGAUACCCUGGUAGUCCACGCAGUAAACGAUGAUGACUAACCGUCGGCGACAGACCGCCGGUGGCCAAGCGAAAGCGAUAAGUCAUCCACCUGGGGAGUACGACCGCAAGGUUGAAACUCAAAUGAAUUGGCGGGG
This 393-nucleotide ribosomal RNA is filed under the name uncultured bacterium. RNAcentral describes it as "partial 16S ribosomal RNA". It matches the Rfam family "Bacterial small subunit ribosomal RNA", at positions 523 to 918 of the family's 1533-position model. The record is from RNAcentral.